UGAUUCUUUGCUGAUUUGGGGAUUUUAUUUCAGAUCUGGAAAUUCAAAGUUCUAAUCUUUUAAUUUUUCUGUUUCGUUUCGGAUCUGAUUGUUUAGGGUUUUCGUAGGAGUUUCCCGUGACUUGGCAACUUGAUCUUGGUCCGCGCGCAACCCCGUAUCAUUUGGUAUCAGAUUUUGGGCGUUUUGGGUGUUCUUGGUUGAUUUCUAAACUGAUCUCAAUAUUUUAAAGCAAAAACAGCAGUUUUACCCAGAAAAAUCUUUCAAAAAAAUUUUAUUUGAGUGGGUAAACGUUGUCAAAUUGAUCUAAAAUUUUACAUACAUAUUUGUGGCACUGUGAUUGAAUAUAAAAAAUUUAUUCCUGCAAAAAAAUCAGUCAAAAAAGUCAAAAA
Molecule: long non-coding RNA, 389 nt
Filed under: Gossypium barbadense (sea-island cotton)
Lineage: Eukaryota; Viridiplantae; Streptophyta; Magnoliopsida; Malvales; Malvaceae
Description: long non-coding RNA (GBAR_LNC007206)
Source: RNAcentral